Molecule: transfer RNA, 69 nt
Filed under: Marmota marmota marmota (Alpine marmot)
Lineage: Eukaryota; Metazoa; Chordata; Mammalia; Rodentia; Sciuridae
Also listed under: 3 other names
Rfam family: tRNA
About the family: Transfer RNA (tRNA) molecules are approximately 80 nucleotides in length. Their secondary structure includes four short double-helical elements and three loops (D, anti-codon, and T loops). Further hydrogen bonds mediate the characteristic L-shaped molecular structure. tRNAs have two regions of fundamental functional importance: the anti-codon, which is responsible for specific mRNA codon recognition, and the 3' end, to which the tRNAs corresponding amino acid is attached (by aminoacyl-tRNA synthetases). tRNAs cope with the degeneracy of the genetic code in two manners: having more than one tRNA (with a specific anti-codon) for a particular amino acid; and 'wobble' base-pairing, i.e. permitting non-standard base-pairing at the 3rd anti-codon position.
Source: Rfam by way of RNAcentral
GGGGUUUUAGCUUAGUGGUAAAGUGCUUGCCUAGCAUGUAUGAGGCACUGGGUUCGAUUCUCAGCACCA